AGAGAGGGAGGAAGAGAGGGGAGGGAGGGAGAGCCUGGGAAGGAAGGAAUAGCGAUUCCAAGAAUCAAGCGUUGGGUGCUAAGCGCGUGAGCAGCCUCACGCUAAUCUCGCAGGCGAUGUGGCGCCAAACAUGUGGUUAAGGGUCGUUUGGCCCACAUGAUCAGCCAGUCGUAUAGCGGAGAAAUAGUCAUUCGGCAUAAUUGUAUCACCAUCUGUCCCGGAAUUGUUCGUUUCUCUCGAGACUAUCGCGCUGAUCUGUUCCAAACAGUAAAGCUUAUGUUUUCCUUUGCAAGUUUCAGCCGUUGUUUGCUGAUUACACUGCUUGUUAUUCAAGGCGAUGAUGUGGCGCCAUAUGUAUUGUUCAACGGUUGUUGGCCCGCAGGAUCAGUCGUUGCAAUAGUCACUCGGCAUAAUAGUUGUAUCAUGUCGUCUGUCAAGGAACUGUUCUUCUCCCGAUACAACUGCAAUGAUCCAUCCUAAGCAGUAACACUUAUGUUUUGCUUCAAGAGGUGUAUAGAAAGUCAGAAACUGCCAAGAGUCACGCGGAAGGUAGCACAGACAAUAUAGCACUGAUCUUCUCAAUAACAGAGGACAGAGAUGCAGCGACCCACGCACCACCCAUCAGCUUCACUUGGCCCUUUUUAGUUGGAAGAUAGCAACAUUGAUUUCCCUGUGCCUUUCUAUGGAUAAUUAGAUGGCUGUUACCGGUUCCUUUACGGGAGUUUUCUGUCACUCUUUGGGGAAGUUCUCCGUCAGCUGUCAGACUGAUCUUCUUUAUCUGCAUCGCUGUUAUAGAAUUACUAUUACUAUUAUUAACACUUUCUGACGGAUCUUCUGAUUAAUAACAGGACCCCGUUCGAGUAAAGUCUGAACCUACCAAGCUCUACCGAUUGAAUGAGCCAAUCGUACAACAAAAAGAUAUUUUAAGAAAAAACAGCUCAUAAAAAACCUGGUGUCCGCUCACUAGCUCUACUGGUAACCUGACCUUUGGUGCAGCUGGCGAAGUUCGCAUUGGAUGUCCCCAGCCAGGCAGCAGCCGGCUGCUAUCCUAUCCGAGUCCACGUGACUACGAGUACACUGCAGUCGAUGUCAGCUCUGCUGCUCCUUGUCUUUUACCGCCUGCUCAUGCUGUUCUCUGCAGUACAUGGUACGUACUGAAGAAAAUAAACAGAAGGUGCCCAUCCACCCGCAAGGGCAGGCCACGGAGGGGACGAGGGGAAUUCAAUGGAGGAGGCAAAGUGGAGAGGGAGGAAAUGCCAUUGGCACCCGCACUGUAGUUCCACUUGUGCAGUGUAGGUGGUGCAGCUGGAGUUAAUUCCGCAUCCACCUAACUAGGGCAAGCAAGCAAGAGAAAUGCCAUUGGCACCCGCACUGUAGUUCCACUUGUGCAUGCGGCCGGUGCAUCUCCGCUCCUCUCCUCAUCAUGGUCUCUUCCAUUCUCAUCUUGAGCAUAAAAAGGGAGCAUGUAAGCCUGAGCUCUGUUUUGAAUAUGAGGAUGCUGAUAUUACUAUUUUGAGAGAGAAAAAAAUCUCGGUUGUGCCCGUUAGCUCAUAUGUUGCUCUUUGCGGACACACAAUCGAUCCCCACUAGGAAAGCGAUGGCCUUGCUCAUCAUGCUCGUCGCUUGGACAAUUUGGAGCGAAAGGAAUGCAUGCGUGCUCCGUCAGAAGAGUGCGUCGCCGGCGGUCCUCCUCGCCAAUAUCAAGGAGGCCAAGCCAUGGGUAACCGUGGGUGCUAGAAAUUGGGUCAUCUGAUGCCGCGAGAGUAGUGAGUCAUUGUUAUUCGGGGCGUUGCGGAACUAUCCGUGUUGUAACACAAACUAAACUCUAUUCCUCUUCUUAAUCAAUGAAUGGGGCAAUUUUUUUGCCUCUUGUUCAAAAAGAAAAAAACAAUCUCGUAAUGGUUUUGCACUCAUCUUAAAUCAUAG
Molecule: long non-coding RNA, 1926 nt
Organism: Triticum dicoccoides
Lineage: Eukaryota; Viridiplantae; Streptophyta; Magnoliopsida; Poales; Poaceae
Exons: 6
Source: RefSeq, a predicted model, not a curated record